CCUACGGGAGACAGCAGUCGAGAAUCAUUCACAAUGGGGGAAACCCUGAUGGUGCGACGCCGCGUGGGGGAAUGAAGGUCUUCGGAUUGUAAACCCCUGUCAUGUGGGAGCAAAUUAAAAAGAUAGUACCACAAGAGGAAGAGACGGCUAACUCUGUGCCAGCAGCCGCGGUAAUACAGAGGUCUCAAGCGUUGUUCGGAAGCACUGGGCGUAAAGCGUGCGUAGGCUGUUUCGUAAGUCGUGUGUGAAAGGCGCGGGCUCAACCCGCGGACGGCACAUGAUACUGCGAGACUAGAGUAAGGGAGGGGGAACCGGAAUUCUCGGUGUAGCAGUGAAAUGCGUAGAUAUCGAGAGGAACACUCGUGGCGAAGGCGGGUUCCUGGACAUUAACUGACGCUGAGGCACGAAGGCCAGGGGAGCGAAAGGGAUUAGAUACCCCGGUAGUC
RNAcentral lists this ribosomal RNA (446 nucleotides) under uncultured bacterium. Its description in RNAcentral is "partial 16S ribosomal RNA". It matches the Rfam family "Bacterial small subunit ribosomal RNA", at positions 338 to 795 of the family's 1533-position model. The record is from RNAcentral.